RNAcentral lists this ribosomal RNA (508 nucleotides) under uncultured bacterium. RNAcentral's name for it is "bacterial SSU rRNA". It matches the Rfam family "Bacterial small subunit ribosomal RNA", at positions 29 to 513 of the family's 1533-position model. The record is from RNAcentral.
AGCGAACGUUAGCGGCGGGCCUAACACAUGCAAGUCGAACGCGAAAGGUCUUCGGACUGAGUAGAGUGGCGCACGGGUGAGUAACACGUAGGUAAUCUACCCUUUGGCGGGGGAUAACGUUCCGAAAGGAGCGCUAAUACCGCAUAAGACCACGGAGUCUCCGGACGCUGUGGGAAAAGGUGGCCUCUUCUUGAAAGCUACCACUGAAGGAUGAGCCUGCGUCCCAUCAGCUAGUUGGUAAGGUAAUGGCUUACCAAGGCGAAGACGGGUAGCUGGUUUGAGAGAAUGAUCAGCCACACUGGCACUGGAACACGGGCCAGACUCCUACGGGAGGCAGCAGUGAGGAAUAUUGGGCAAUGGGCGAAAGCCUGACCCAGCCACGCCGCGUGAGUGAUGAAGGCCCUCGGGUCGUAAAGCUCUGUGGAGAGGGACGAAAACCCUGGUUUCAAAUAGGCUCCAGGCUUGACGGUACCUCUUUAGUCAAGCACCGGCUAACUCUGUGCCAGCA